UACGUAGGGUGCGAGCGUUAAUCGGAAUUACUGGGCGUAAAGGGUGCGUAGGCGGUUACUUAAGUCGGAUGUGAAAGCCCUCGGCUUAACUGAGGAAGUGCACCCGAAACUGAGUAGCUAGAGUACUAAAGAGGGUCGCGGAAUUCCCGGUGUAGAGGUGAAAUUCGUAGAUAUCGGGAGGAACACCGGUGGCGAAGGCGGCGACCUGGGUAGAUACUGACGCUGAGGCGCGAAAGCGUGGGGAGCAAACAGG
This 253-nucleotide ribosomal RNA is filed under the name uncultured bacterium. RNAcentral's name for it is "partial 16S ribosomal RNA". It matches the Rfam family "Bacterial small subunit ribosomal RNA", at positions 524 to 776 of the family's 1533-position model. The record is from RNAcentral.